UACGGGAGGCAGCAGUGGGGAAUAUUGCACAAUGGGGGAAACCCUGAUGCAGCCAUGCCGCGUGUAUGAAGAAGGCCUUCGGGUUGUAAAGUACUUUCGGUAAUGAGGAAGGUGAUGUAUCUAAUAGGUGCAUCAAUUGACGUUAAUUACAGAAGAAGCACCGGCUAACUCCGUGCCAGCAGCCGCGGUAAUACGGAGGGUGCGAGCGUUAAUCGGAAUGACUGGGCGUAAAGGGCAUGUAGGCGGAUAAUUAAGUUAGGUGUGAAAGCCCUGGGCUCAACCUAGGAAUUGCACUUAAAACUGGUUAACUAGAGUAUUGUAGAGGAAGGUAGAAUUCCACGUGUAGCGGUGAAAUGCGUAGAGAUGUGGAGGAAUACCGGUGGCGAAGGCGGCCUUCUGGACAGAUACUGACGCUGAGAUGCGAAAGCGUGGGGAGCAAACAGGAUUAGAUACCCUGGUAGUCCACGCUGUAAACGAUGUCGAUUUGGAGUUUGUUGCCCUGAGUGAUGGGCUCCGAAGCUAACGCGAUAAAUCGACCGCCUGGGGAGUACGGCCGCAAGGUUAAAACUCAAAUGAAUUGACGGGGGCCCGCACAAGCGGUGGAGCAUGUGGUUUAAUUCGAUGCAACGCGAAGAACCUUACCUGGUCUUGACAUCCACAGAAUCUUGCAGAGAUGCGAGAGUGCCUUCGGGAACUGUGAGACAGGUGCUGCAUGGCUGUCGUCAGCUCGUGUUGUGAAAUGUUGGGUUAAGUCCCGCAACGAGCGCAACCCUUAUCCUUUGUUGCCAGCGGUUCGGCCGGGAACUCAAAGGAGACUGCCGUUGAUAAAGCGGAGGAAGGUGGGGACGACGUCAAGUCAUCAUGGCCCUUACGACCAGGGCUACACACGUGCUACAAUGGCGUAUACAAAGGGAGGCGACCUCGCGAGAGCAAGCGGACCUCACAAAGUACGUCUAAGUCCGGAUUGGAGUCUGCAACUCGACUCCAUGAAGUCGGAAUCGCUAGUAAUCGUGAAUCAGAAUGUCACGGUGAAUACGUUCCCGGGCCUUGUACACAACCGCCCGUCAACACCACUGGGACGUGGGUUGCA
Molecule: ribosomal RNA, 1090 nt
Filed under: Gilliamella apicola
Lineage: Bacteria; Pseudomonadati; Pseudomonadota; Gammaproteobacteria; Orbales; Orbaceae
Description: bacterial SSU rRNA
Rfam family: Bacterial small subunit ribosomal RNA
Source: RNAcentral